ACUACUUCUUGUAGGUUUGUCACCUUUAUCUCUACCCUUUUUGCCUUUUGUAAUUGCCUCAAGUAAUAAUCCUGCAUCCUUCAUUACUUGAUUGAAAUUUUCUUGAUUAUCUGCCUCUUCUUUAUCUUCGAUAAAUGGUUCAAUAUUAUGUGCCUUUUCUGAUCCUAUGUCUUCAGUUACUUGAUGAGAAACCAGUUCAUGCAUAGUCUUGUUAUGAGAACUCCUCUUUGCUGACGUUGCCACUAUGGUUCUCCUUUCAGAUACUGAUUCUAGCCCUUCCACUGUGGUUAUGGUACCUUUGUAGCUUGAUUCAUCCACUUGAAGUGCCUUCUCAUAUGUUGCUUGAUCAAGAAAUAAUUGCAUGUUCUGAUGAUGUAUGUCUACAUGUUAGUUCCCCUCCUUAUUACCUACUAUUUCUACUGCAUGACUUGUUGAAGCUAUUUUAUUGCUGCUGCAAAUCUGUUUUCCUUCUACUUGGAGUGAUUCCCCAGAACUUUAUUGAUCAACAGGAACUUUCUCUUCCUUAUUCCCACCAAUCUCUGCAUAUUCUACAAUAUCUUUUUGCUUCCUCAGGACUUCUACCUUGCUGUUGUUGUUCUGCUAAAGUCUACAACUAUCCCUUAUCUCCUUACCUUUGUUCAAAUCUGUUGAUCCUUAUUGCUGAUAAAUUAUUUCAGCAUGCUCCUUUAUGAAUACAUUAUUGUUCUGUGGAACCUGUGGAUCUUCAACUGUAUCCUUACUAUCAUAUUUUGUAUUAUCAUGUUUUUUGCUAAUAUUAUCAAUUUUCAGCACUCCUUUCUCUGAAGCAUCCCCCUUCUCAGCCAUGCAUUCAUCUCUGGAAGUGUGACUAUCACUUUGAUGUUGUCCAACAUUCCCCUACUUCAUAUGAUUAAUACUACUUUCCUCCUCAACUUGUUGAAGAAUAUCAAAAGAAUUCUUGGGUUCCAUUUUGCAAGAAUCACUCUUCCAUUGACAUAUCUCCUUUGAACUGGAUGUAAGCUUCGACAUUCAACCUCGUCAUGUCCUUAUAGCUCAUAGGUAAUUUGGCUACCAAGUCUACUUGCACUUUCACCCUGGCGUCUUAUUUAUUGUAGCCAUAUCCAGCUGGCUAGGUUUCCCUACUGCUGCUGGUAAUGAAAACAAAGAUUCCUUCACAAAGAAGGUAUGAAAAAGAUCGGGGAAAGAGAUCCAUGUAAUCGCCUGCGUAGUCUCCACCUUUGGAUCAAAAUUUUUGACAUAAAUGAAAGGCCUCAUCUGAUAUGCUAAACCAUUUUUUGUUGUGAUGUAAUAUACAGUUUUUGACGUCAUAUUAAUAAAAUCUUCCUUGAGAUCAAAGCACAUUAAUAUGUCUGUUACACAGUAAAUCAAUUUUACAGCCUUCUUUUAUUUUGCAUUGCUUUGGAAUUUGCAUUCUCAAUUCUUCUUUGU
Capsicum annuum is the source of this 1428-nucleotide long non-coding RNA. RefSeq lists it as uncharacterized. Lineage: Eukaryota; Viridiplantae; Streptophyta; Magnoliopsida; Solanales; Solanaceae. The record is from RefSeq and is a predicted model, not a curated record. The transcript has 4 exons.